UAAUACGUAGGGUGCGAGCGUUAAUCGGAAUUACUGGGCGUAAAGCGUGCGCAGGCGGUUGUGCAAGACAGAUGUGAAAUCCCCGGGCUCAACCUGGGAACUGCAUUUGUGACUGCACGGCUGGAGUGCGGCAGAGGGGGAUGGAAUUCCGCGUGUAGCAGUGAAAUGCGUAGAUAUGCGGAGGAACACCGAUGGCGAAGGCAAUCCCCUGGGCCUGCACUGACGCUCAUGCACGAAAGCGUGGGGAGCAAACAGGAUUAGAUACCCUGGUAGUCCACGCCCUAAACGAUGUCGACUAGUUGUUGGACGGCUUGCUGUUCAGUAACGUAGCUAACGCGUGAAGUCGACCGCCUGGGGAGUACGGCCGCAAGGUUG
Molecule: ribosomal RNA, 375 nt
Filed under: uncultured bacterium
Lineage: Bacteria
Description: bacterial SSU rRNA
Rfam family: Bacterial small subunit ribosomal RNA
Source: RNAcentral